AUACGGAGGGUGCAAGCGUUAAUCGGAUUUACUGGGCGUAAAGCGUACGUAGGCGGUUUGAUAAGUCAGAUGUGAAAGCCCCGGGCUCAACCUGGGAACUGCAUUUGAAACUGUCAGACUAGAGUUUGGUAGAGGGUAGUAGAAUUCCUGGUGUAGCGGUGAAAUGCGUAGAUAUCAGGAGGAAUACCAGUGGCGAAGGCGGCUACCUGGCCCAAUACUGACGCUGAGGUGCGAAAGCGUGGGGAGCAAACAGGAGUAGAAACCCCAGUAGUCC
RNAcentral lists this ribosomal RNA (274 nucleotides) under uncultured bacterium. RNAcentral's name for it is "partial 16S ribosomal RNA". It matches the Rfam family "Bacterial small subunit ribosomal RNA", at positions 523 to 796 of the family's 1533-position model. The record is from RNAcentral.